CUUUGCUCCUCCUUUGGCUUCCACCAUGAUUGUGAGGCCUCCCCAGCCAUGUGGAACUCACUUCUCCUUCCUGUCACCAUGUGAAGAAGGACGUGUUUGCUUCCCCUUCUGCUAUGAUUGUAAGCUUCCUGAGGCCUCCCCAGCCCUGCAGAACUAAAUCCAAAGAAGCCACUAUGCUGAAAAUACUUUGAGUGGGUUAGAGUUUCGCUCAAGGAAGUGCUGUAGUAGAAAAUGGCCAUUUCUCUGUGCUGUGUUCAGAGUAAGAGACAUGGGUGAAAGAGUUAUCCGGAAUGGAAUGCUGAGGAGACCCUAAAGGGAAUUUCCGGGUGGAUGGCCAGCACUGUCACUCGAUGAGUGGAGGAUUGACAAACUUGCCAAAUACUGCAAGAAAAGAUGUUGCUGAUCACGGAUAGGAAAUACUCCAAGUCCCAGGAGAUAGUCUGUUCUUAGGAGACUUCCACACCAAGUCUGCUGACCAGAGAAGGACCAGUCAACCACCACACUCUCCGCUGGAGCCCACUCAGCACCAGGAAGAAACAGAUGGAAAAACCUAGACUUGCUCCCUUAGAUCAGUGCUAUUAUCAAUAUCAUCCUCUGAGAGACAAAGCUGUUAAAUUACUUUGCCCAGAUGACAUGGCCAGUGAGUAUGGAGACAGACCGGAAAUUAAGGCUCUGUUCUAGAUUCUCGGAAUAUAGCAGUGAACAAAACAGAUAAAACGUGCCUGCCCCUGUGG
Molecule: long non-coding RNA, 734 nt
Organism: Homo sapiens (human)
Lineage: Eukaryota; Metazoa; Chordata; Mammalia; Primates; Hominidae
Gene: PDE7B-AS1
Product: PDE7B antisense RNA 1
Source: Ensembl